This 61-nucleotide ribosomal RNA is filed under the name Kalopanax septemlobus. Its description in RNAcentral is "partial 26S ribosomal RNA". Lineage: Eukaryota; Viridiplantae; Streptophyta; Magnoliopsida; Apiales; Araliaceae. The record is from RNAcentral.
CCCAGGUCAGGCGGGACUACCCGCUGAGUUUAAGCAUAUCAAUAAGGCGGGAGGAAAAAAA